RNAcentral lists this ribosomal RNA (492 nucleotides) under uncultured bacterium. Its description in RNAcentral is "partial 16S ribosomal RNA". It matches the Rfam family "Bacterial small subunit ribosomal RNA", at positions 29 to 507 of the family's 1533-position model. The record is from RNAcentral.
AGUGAACGCUGGCGGUAGGCCUAACACAUGCAAGUCGAACGGCAGCACAGUAAGAGCUUGCUCUUACGGGUGGCGAGUGGCGGACGGGUGAGGAAUACAUCGGAAUCUACUUUUUCGUGGGGGAUAACGUAGGGAAACUUACGCUAAUACCGCAUACGACCUACGGGUGAAAGCAGGGGAUCUUCGGACCUUGCGCGAUUGAAUGAGCCGAUGUCGGAUUAGCUAGUUGGCGGGGUAAAGGCCCACCAAGGCGACGAUCCGUAGCUGGUCUGAGAGGAUGAUCGGCCACACUGGAACGUAGACACGGUCCAGGCUCCUACGGGAGGCAGCAGUGGGGAAUAUUGGACAAUGGGCGCAAGCCUGAUCCAGCCAUACCGCGUGGGUGAAGAAGGCCUUCGGGUUGUAAAGCCCUUUUGUGGGGAAAGAAAAGCAGCAGGUUAAUACCCCGCUGUUCUGACGGUACCCAAAGAAUAAGCACCGGCUAACUUCGUG